AGUCUCCCUGCAGCUUCAAGUGGCAUCAAAGAGGGUAUGUAUACUUUGUUUAAUUAUCACUUGCUCUUCUGGAAAUACUUCUUUGAUGGCCUGUGUGUAGAAAUGUGCUAAUUUACAAAUGGAUGCUUCCAUUUGCCAAGUAGAACAGUUCAAUGCAAAUGAAAGAACUCUUCCUUUACAUUUAGGAAACUUUUUUUUUAUUUUUUCCAAGUGGGACAGAUCACCUCUGCCCAAUUAUGAACUUGUUCUGCUGACUCUCAGCAAUUCAAGACUGUUAAUUAAAUUGGAAACUGCUUCCUUUCUGUGGUGCAGUGGAAAGGAUUUAUAAGACAUACAUGCCUUAUAUAUAUCUUAUAUAUGGUGGGUUUUUUUUUUAAAGGAAAAUGCGUCUGUUGAAUCUUUGUAUUGGUGUAUAAACCAGUCCUGACUUGGCCUGGAGCAAGACUGCUGAUGGCAAAUUGAGACCUGGAGACACAUCUCAUUGCCUGAUGGAUGGGAGAAGCCACCCAGCCAUGUUGCCUCAUUUUUCUCAGGAGGAGGGAGGACUAGACUUCUGUUCAGAGGAAAUAAAGCACAGGGUCAGAGGUCAGAGGGCAUUAGUCUAUAAAGUUUUAUGACCUGUAGCUGACAGUUAUUUCUCUUGGAUAAAGGAACAAGAGGAAAAAAAGACAACUUGUACUUGUUCUCUUUCUCAUUUCUUAUCUCUCUCUGAAUUUAAUUUCCUUGUUGCAUUCGAUCCCAAAACAUUGCUUUCUCAGCAUUUCUAUUAUUUAGUCUUCACUAUCUCAUUCAUUUUUACUACUGUUUGCUCCAGAAUUCUAUUUCCCUUUUCUCAGUCGUGUUAUUACUGUUUUAUUUGUUUCAGCCAGCUUGUCAUCCUUCUCCAGGAACUUACUGUUAGCAAAGACUUGCUUACUGACAAAUUCCUGCCUCCUUGAAGAAAUGCUGAAUUAAAUUGUUGAGAUAAAUCCUUUAUGUUCUUGUAAAUUUUUUUCUAUUAUUAAGGUUAUUUUCUUAAUUUUAUAUUUAUUUUUGUAUUUUUACAUUUUAUUUUGGGCGUUGGAUGAUGGGAAAUAGACUGAAGGAUAACAAACAAUAGCUACACUAUCUUUUUAAACAUCUAUUUUUAAUGUUUUGCUCUCUAUUUCAUUAAAAAUUAUUGAAUAUUAGGCUUAAUUUUACAGACUUCUCUGCAAGUUUAAAAAUAAAAUGAACCUCAGUACAUGCAUCUAUGUAAUUUAUUUGGAAGAAGAUAUUUCUGAACAUUAAUGGAAAUAUGUUCAUUUUGGUUGUUUAAACCAUACAAAGAUUAUGAAUAAAAUAAAGAGUAGAUUAUAGAAUAAUAGAACUCUACAGACCUCCUAUGAACUUCAAAAGAAAAUUAAAAUAAAAAAAUGAGUCUGGAAUAGGAGUAAUGGAGAUCAGAGGCAGAGAGAUUGUUAUAGAAUGAAUUUGAGAUGAAUCAUGUGGCCCUUCAUGUCCAUCAGAAUCAUCAAUAACUGUCAUUUUCUGCGUGAUAGCUAGAACGAAAGCUUCUUUAAGGUAGCUCUGUGUCUUGUGUGGAGCUCUAUGUCUAGCCUCUAGCAUAAUUCCUGACACACAAGAAGUACUCAUUAAAUAUGUGCCCUGUGAGUCAAUGACUGAACACAAUUAUCAAAGACUUAUGGUAAUGGGAUUCUGAUUGCAGGAACCUCCUGUUCGCAUAUCUGUCCUCUAUCACACUAUAGCCCACAGUGUAGUUCUGGUGGUUCUCUAUGUGCACUGUGUUUUCUCACUUUAGGUUUCACCACUGUGCUGCCUGACUGGAGCAGACUCCACUCUCUAACCACCUUUACUUCCUUGCUUCUUUCAGCAUUACAUUUAGAUGACCCUCCUCAGGAGCUUGGUGAGGUGCUGCAACACAUAACAUGCAUCCGACUCUACUGGAGUUGCAUGUUUGACUUGCUAGACUAAAAGCAUCUUGAAGGUAAAAAGAGUGUCUUACACAGCUCUGUACUCUCAAUGCCUAGCCCAGAGCAUGAGACAAAAUAGAAGCUAACAUACCUGUUGAAUUAAUAAUGAAUGAAGGAGCAACAACAAAAACAGGAAGAAAUGGAAAGGAGAGAGUAGCAGAUAAUGGCAAGAACGGGUUGAAAAGCAGUCCUCUGCCUUUACCUUGAGAAUACAAAGCACAGUCUUAUACAACAAUUAAAUUGAUUUUGAUUCCAGUGCCCUCCUAUGUGGACCAUCUGGUUAGAUAUUUGUUGUUCUGAGAGAUUAAAGGUAAGGAAUAAGUUGGGUAGUGCAGAUUGUUCAGUUAAGAGUAUAAAUGACUGGAAGUGAGAGGUAGCAUCAUGUGUGGGCAUUGUCCCAGCCAAAAAGUGGGGAGGGCACUAUGGUGGAUUCUCCCACUCUACCUGCUAGAACUUAUGCCCCACUAUCCCUUAAUGCAUUCCUUCUCAUCUGGUUAAAUCUACAUGUUUACUGACUCUAUAAAAAUACCUUAUUAAUUUCUACUUUACCACCUUUUCUCAGUUUCCCUCUUUUCUGUUGUCUCUUCUCCCUCUUCUCACAUACAAAAAUAUGAUCCUUCAAAAAUCAGUUCAUAUUUUUCUGCCCUCAGACUAUUCUAAGAAGUGAAAAUGAAUCUAAGCCUGCUAUUUUCAGAACACCUGCAAUAUUGCCACCUACACUAUACAACUGAUAGAUGACAUAACUAUGAAUAACAUUGUAUUGCCCACUGCUUUAACCACUCAAUUUGUCUCCCAACCAGACUAUAAACUCUUUCAGUUCAGGUAUUACACUUUGAACUUUUUAUAAUCCUUUAAAGCACUUGGCCUAAUAACAUGCUAGUUACCCCAUGAAUAAUUGAUUGAGAAAUUGGGUUACUAGAUAACUUAUAUAUAUGUAACAUCAUCCUCAGACAGCUCUCUGAUUAUCCUACCCAAAUUUUUCUUUUGGAGCAUCCUGAUUUUAUGAUUUUAUAUGGAUAUAUGUAUGUAAUCAUAGAAAUGGUUAUAGUUACAGAUGUAAAUAUAGAGAAGUAGAAAGAGUCCUUUCAUUGUUUUAUUGGACACUUCAUAUUCAAGAAAUUCUUAUGCUUGCAAGCUUCUUUUCUCUUAUGUCUUUCUAAGAGGGCAUGAUAAACAGUUGUUUACUGCCUUUUGAAUAAUGGACUGUCACAAAUGCUACUUCUGGUUUCCUCCUUUCUUGGCUAAACAACCUUAGCCCCUUUAGACAUUUAAAUGCCAUGAGCAGAUGCUCAAUAAUAUUACUUGGUGGUUAGCCAUAAUUUAUAGUGCUUAUUUAUGGAAGUAGAUGAAAACAGAAGUCUUAUGUAUUUUUAAACUUUUCUUUCACAUAUGGCGUACUUUACAGAGAGUGAGGAUUUGGAUGAAUGGAUAGAUGAAUGCAGCUAAUAUUAUCAUUUUGGUCUCAUCUAAAAGCGGGGAAACAUAGGAAACAUUAGAAAGAAAGCUAAAAUGCACAAGAUGCUAUUUUACUAUUAACUCAGACUUUUCUUAUGCCAGAUGGUGUUGGAGGAAAGCUUUUGUUUUCUUGAUGAUAGGCAUCUUCUUUUAAUUUUGCCAACCAGACACAGUUCCUCUCUUUUCAGCAUGCAGAGACACAGCAGCCAUCUUUUAUACACCUCUUAGAUACAGUAACUGGUUUGGCAUUUCCUGGUGACUGUGAGUCUGACAAUUGCUCAGAAUUUCAUCACUGCUUCAGUCAUGUGUAGAAGAUGCUCCCAGAGAUAAGCAUAAGACCCCCAUCAGUAGAGUUAUUUUAGGCUCAGCUUUACUUAAACAGCAUCAAAUUCUAAUUGGGCCUACCAGACUUAAUUUAAGGAGCUAGAGUGGAUGAACAACGAUGUACUGUGACAUCCAAAAUAUCAACACAACGUUAUAUGUAAUCACAAGUAUGUAUCUGUGUGUGUGUGUGCAUGUGAUGUAUAUGGUAGAGGGGAGGGCGAUGUGGGUGCAGGUUGGUGGGCUGAAGACAUCUUUAACCUUGCUUUUGUACUAUAUCAGAUAGGUCUUGGUACUGCCCCUGAAGAAAGACCUGAGUAUAAAAGGGAAGGGUAACUAAAUAAGCAAAAGAGAAAGAGGUCGCCAUGCUAGUAAAACUAGAUCUUGAGAUGUUAGGAAACUGAGAGGUCAGUUAACACAACUUCUUACUUGAUGGGGAAUGCCAUUUCAUUGUCAUCAGUGAAUAUCAACUAUCCUUGAAAGUCUAUAUUAAAAGAUUAUUAUUUAUUUUGCAAACACAAAGACAGAGAAAGAAGAAUUGAAACUAUUAAUUUUCAGUUAACAGUUGGGAAGGCUAAAGAUAGGGUAAGCAUGGAUUUAGUCACCUAUUAGCAGAAAGUCAGGCUUAAAGGCACUUCUUGAAGCUGAGAGGUGGGUUUGUGCUUGUGGCAUUUAGCUUGGCAGGAUAGAAUGUAAAUUACACCUCUUGUCCUAAGAGCUGGAUUCUAGCACAGUCUCCAUCAUUAGCUAGCUAUGUAGCACUGAGCUAUACACAUGACUUCUUACCUGUAAAAUGAUCGGGUAGGAUUAAAUGAUGAUUCCUAAGUUCUUUUCCAGCAAGAAAUUAUGUGAUCCUAAAGCAAAUAUUUACUUCUAACAGUAGAUCAACUGUAGUACUGACAUGAAUCUCAAGUUUUCUAUCACAUUCUCCUCUACUGAAAAUUAUAUCAUCAUUGUGUCUGCCUCAUAGGCUUGCUCCAUAUCUUUUUUCUCUGAGCCCUACAUUUUUCUUUAUAAGAUUAUCUUGCUUCCAGUUUCCUCCCACAGACUCAGUGUUGGAUUAGAGAGGUAUUAGUGAUCACGAGGAUGAUUCUAAGGCUAUUAUGUAUCUUAUCCAGAUUGUAUACUGCACAAGGGUACCCAACUGAAGGAGCAAGUGGGAGCUGCAAGCAGGGUGCCUUGGGUAGAUGCAUCCACCUGAAGGCAGGCAUGCUAUUGCUAAUCCCACUCUAGGGUAUUGGCUUAGGGUAUUCUGAAAAGUGAGAUUCACCCAUUUGUUCUAUGAUCUGAAAAGGUCUGAAAUAUACCAACACUAUUAGCAUUGAUUCUCCAAUGCUGAACAUAUAUCACAAAACCAAUUACAAGAGACUCUGCGAUUAAAAAAGAGAUGUUACAUAUCAGUUCCUCUUAAGGGGCAAAACAUUCCAAGACAGCUGAGAUUAAACUUUUGCAUCACCUAUCUUGUUGGAAUAACAGUACAUUAUCAUGGGAGAACACAUUUUUAAAUGAAAUGUAUUGGACAAAACAUCCUCCAGGCUAACUUGCACUGAAUCCCUGCUGAAUGAUCUCAAAUGAAUAAAACAAAUUAUAUACACUGCAUUAGGCCUUAGCACGCAUAGUACCAUCACAAGGAGAUUCAAACACUCUGUAGGUGCCCUGCCUGGCAGGGGAAGGCAAAUCUCAUUGAAGCACUUGUUGGUAAUCCUUCUUUCUCAUGAAGAAUUCGGUAGACUUUUCUGCAGAUAUUCAGCAAACUAUUUGGUGUCUGGAGUGAAAAUGUGGUGUAUAAGGCUGCCCUAAAAUUUCAUGGAAAAUGUAAAUUGCCUGAGUUUUCUUCCAAAUCAAAUCAGACUGAAAAUGGCUCCCACAGCUUCUUCCUUCAACCAUAAGAUGUUCCCAUUAGUGCCAAUUAAUGCUGAGACCCUAGCAAUCUGUGUGCAUGAUUCAUUAAUGAGGAGCCUCAUUUAUAGUUGAAAAAGUAAUGCAAUGGAGCAACUGCAAUAAUGUCCUGCUUUUUCCGCACUGACCUGUGCUCUGCCAACUGCUGACCUCUCCCCACAGAGAAGAUUUCCUCCAGCUGAUCAAUGGCAGCAUAUGCACAGGGGCAGUGGACAUGGCAACAAUGAAGGUAAGAUUUCACCUUCAUAGUACCAUUCCAACCUCCAUGCUUACUUGAGACCAAACAUGAGACUGAGAUUCUCUUUCUUCUUAAAUGAAAGUUCUAAUUUAAUUAAGGAAGGAACAGAGAAGCCAAGACUCUAUUACUCUGCAGCACGUUGCUUUUCUACAAGGUCUCCACUUCAUCAACAUUCUCUAAAUCUGUAGAAUAUCCUGCUAUCCUCAUUACUAACAUGAUACCAAAAAACAAACUGGCUCAAUUAAUUUGUAAUGCUGCUCUGUGUGCGAGAUGCUGGUUUUUACAAUAUAAAUAUAUAUGUACAUCUUUUUAAUUUUGCCUGAGUAUUUCACUGCAAUCACUGCAGAUAUGAUAGUUAUUUAUUUGGCUGUAACAGUCAAGUCAACGUUUCCCUCUGUCUUGCUGCAUCCUUCCUAUUCUCCAACCUAAACAGGGAUACAAACAAGAAGGGACUGGAAUUCUGGACACCAGCCAGUGUCCCAAAUCUGCUGUAGCCACAGAGUAGGGAGAAUGCAGCCUCAAGUCUAGAAAGCCAGGAAACACUAAUCCUCUUCAAAAUGAGAAAGUGGCUCUCUCUGCCUUGGAGGGGAAAACACACCAGGCCCAGCAAUCUCUUUUCUCCAUGAACUUGGCAAGCAUUUUUCUCCCCACUCCCACUCUUCCUGCUCAUAGAAGAAAGCAUGACACACUUAUUAGCAGAGUCAUUUUAAAUACUGUUUUGCUUAAAACAGCAUCAAAUUCUAAACAAAAAUCUGUGGGUUUUAAUUUUAAUUUUUAGUUUAUUUCUGGUGGCAGCUGGGCUAAAAUAUAAUUUUAUACUUUCUACAAACAACAGUGUAAGUAACAUUGAAGAGGAAAUAUUUAUGCUGCUGAUACGGUUUGGCUGUAUGUCCCCACCUAAUUCUCAUCUGAAACUAUAAUCCGCGUGUGUUGAGGGAGGGACCUGGGGGGGAGGCGAUGGAAUCAUGGGGGUGGUUCCCCCACACUGUUCUCAUGAUAGUGAGUUUGAAUUCUCAUGAGACAUGUUGGUGUUUUUUUUUGUUUUUUUUUUUGAGACAGAGUUUCUCUCGUCACCCAGGCUGGAGUGCAAUAGCGCGAUCUCGGCUCACA
This 6975-nucleotide long non-coding RNA is filed under the name Homo sapiens (human). Its description in RNAcentral is "HSALNT0381112". The record is from RNAcentral. Lineage: Eukaryota; Metazoa; Chordata; Mammalia; Primates; Hominidae.